Molecule: long non-coding RNA, 1027 nt
Filed under: Sus scrofa (pig)
Lineage: Eukaryota; Metazoa; Chordata; Mammalia; Artiodactyla; Suidae
Description: lncRNA (ENSSSCG00070013661.1)
Source: RNAcentral
GCCAGUGACAUCCAUUCUGCAUGGCCAUGAAUAUUUAUUGUCAUAUCCCUGCACCAGACAGAGUUGGGAAAGAGGGGUUAUGAGGAGGCUUUUCUUCCACACCAGAUGACUGUUGUCCCUCCUCAGCCCAACUGAAGAAAUGAAGUGGAUUGGUCUUUAGUGUGUCCUGGAGAAUGGAGUACUGGGAUUGACCAUUACUAAAGCGUAACUGAUAGCCCAUUGGAAACAAAGAACAGAGGGAGUACUUUCCAAGGAAUCAGGCGACGGGAGAACGAGUAUGAUGAAGAAAGAAUUAAAAUCCAAGGAGGAACAGAAGAAAAGUAUGUAGAAAAUGUGAUUUCCCCAAGGCUCGUGACAUUGUCUUGUAAGGGAAGAUGGGUCUGACUGCCAGUAGCAGCCUUAAACAAAAUAAUCAAAAAAGUGAGCCCCCGCACAUAAGCUCGAGACUAUCAGAAUUCUUCAGGGCAGAAUAAGUUGGGCCUUUAUUUCCCUCUGCUGCUUCCCUGGUAAUUGUUUGAAGAGUCCUGUGAAGACUUCUUUUUAAUUCCUCUCACUGUGAGGUAAGCCUUUAUAAAGACGGUCAUAAUACAGAAAGCAGAGACUUGUGCUGAGAAUGACAUUGUUUCAUAAAAAUGUCAGUGAUUAUUAAUUCAUAGAAGAUUUGUGAGGCAAGUGGAAAGACUUGAUAAGCCUCAUUUCCUUGACCAUAUUCAUUUUUUACCCAGGAAUAUAAAUUUUGCUAAUCACUAUUUCAAAUUGCAUUUGCCUUUCACCCAGCCACAACCGUGUUCGUUUUAAUUAGUUCAAGUUUGCGGGAUGUAAAAAUGUUUUCCUAUUCAUCAAGAUGUCCCUAGAAUAAUGCUAUCCAGAGUCCUGGGCAUUCUUGAGAAACAAGCUUCUCUGCAACAGAUUAAAGAGCACUUUUAAGGGCACUUCCCCAAAUAUAUAUAUACCCAAGGAGUCCAGUACAUCAUUCCAAGGAAAAUAACUUAUUUUCAAACCUCUUAUCACUGAAAAUUCAGUACUU